Molecule: unclassified non-coding RNA, 773 nt
Filed under: Bombus terrestris (buff-tailed bumblebee)
Lineage: Eukaryota; Metazoa; Arthropoda; Insecta; Hymenoptera; Apidae
Description: misc RNA ENSBTSG00005020239.1
Source: RNAcentral
AUAUAAUUGGUCGGGCGCGACAUCGUUUCACCAAACAAAUGUCGCGAUUACAUUGAUAUCAUUUUCAGUGUUUCACAAAGAAACUUGACGACCUAGUCUGGUGCAUAGUAUUUAUAUACAUACAUAGAUAACAGCUAUCUAAUUGAGGAAAAGUCAUAAUUGUGCUCUGUGACGUAAAACGACGCGACGGUCCAGCAGACGAUCGACGAAUGGAUAGGCUCCAGGGCACGAAAAUAUUUGUAUUUUCGCAGCAAUCCGGCUGACGACGUUAUUUUUCUUCAUGGCCACUAUCGAGCAAGCAAACGAAAAUAUGUACCAUUUUUCGUUCACUCGCUUUCUAUGGAAAGAUAAAGAAUGAUACGUGAUUUGUAUAAGGUUGUUUGGCGCGAGAUGAAAACGGUCUGACGAGUUUGGAAUUCAAAGAUUAUUUGCAAUUUACAAUCUCCAACGUGAUCUCGAUGAUUCGUCGGGCUGUAAUCAAUGGGAAUUCCUGGAAAGGCAUUGUUUUCAGAAAGAAAUAAAGCGUAAAAUAUGAAAAUGAUAUGAUGACAAAGGCUCGGAUAAUCAGCUGCUUAUCUUGACUUUAUCAAUAAGCAAUUCAUAAAACAUUUCAUUCUAGAAGACAAUUUAUCGAUGUUCUAAACAUAGCGACGGUUCAAUUUCAAAAGAAUACAUUUCUUUUUGCAAUUAUUGUUUCCAAAAGGAAUGAAAAUCGGUGACCAUAUUGGCAACAGAUUAAGAUAGAGAGUUUAAUGUGACAGAGAUUUGUAAAA